CAAAGUGUAGCUUAAACAAAAGCGCCUGGCUUACACCCAGAAGAUUUCACUAAAAAUGACCACUUUGA
Molecule: transfer RNA, 68 nt
Filed under: Talpa aquitania
Lineage: Eukaryota; Metazoa; Chordata; Mammalia; Eulipotyphla; Talpidae
Description: tRNA-Val
Rfam family: tRNA
About the family: Transfer RNA (tRNA) molecules are approximately 80 nucleotides in length. Their secondary structure includes four short double-helical elements and three loops (D, anti-codon, and T loops).
Source: RNAcentral